GUGCUUACUUUGGCAGUACAUAUAAUAAAAUUAAAGCAAUACAGGGAAGAGUAACAAGGCCCUUACAUAAGGAAGAUACAAAAAUUCAUAAAACUUUCCAUAUGUAA
Small nuclear RNA from Otolemur garnettii (small-eared galago), 107 nucleotides. Lineage: Eukaryota; Metazoa; Chordata; Mammalia; Primates; Galagidae. The record is from Ensembl.